GUAAUCCUGCACAGUAUGAGAGGAAUUGCAGGUUCAAAGCUACCAUCUCUGGGAUUCUGACUGAAUGCCUCUAAGUCAGAAUCCCCCC
This 88-nucleotide non-coding RNA is filed under the name Lepisosteus oculatus (spotted gar). The record is from Rfam by way of RNAcentral. Lineage: Eukaryota; Metazoa; Chordata; Actinopteri; Semionotiformes; Lepisosteidae.